This 1343-nucleotide ribosomal RNA is filed under the name uncultured bacterium. RNAcentral describes it as "16S ribosomal RNA". It matches the Rfam family "Bacterial small subunit ribosomal RNA", at positions 28 to 1378 of the family's 1533-position model. The record is from RNAcentral.
GACGAACGCUGGCGGCGUGCUUAACACAUGCAAGUCGAACGGAAAGGCCCUGCUUUUGUGGGGUGCUCGAGUGGCGAACGGGUGAGUAACACGUGAGUAACCUGCCCUUGACUUUGGGAUAACUUCAGGAAACUGGGGCUAAUACCGGAUAGGAGCUCCUGCUGCAUGGUGGGGGUUGGAAAGUUUCGGCGGUUGGGGAUGGACUCGCGGCUUAUCAGCUUGUUGGUGGGGUAGUGGCUUACCAAGGCUUUGACGGGUAGCCGGCCUGAGAGGGUGACCGGCCACAUUGGGACUGAGAUACGGCCCAGACUCCUACGGGAGGCAGCAGUGGGGAAUAUUGCACAAUGGGCGGAAGCCUGAUGCAGCAACGCCGCGUGCGGGAUGACGGCCUUCGGGUUGUAAACCGCUUUCGCCUGUGACGAAGCGUGAGUGACGGUAAUGGGUAAAGAAGCACCGGCUAACUACGUGCCAGCAGCCGCGGUGAUACGUAGGGUGCGAGCGUUGUCCGGAUUUAUUGGGCGUAAAGGGUUCGUAGGUGGUUGAUCGCGUCGGAAGUGUAAUCUUGGGGCUUAACCCUGAGCGUGCUUUCGAUACGGGUUGACUUGAGGAAGGUAGGGGAGAAUGGAAUUCCUGGUGGAGCGGUGGAAUGCGCAGAUAUCAGGAGGAACACCAGUGGCGAAGGCGGUUCUCUGGGCCUUUCCUGACGCUGAGGAGCGAAAGCGUGGGGAGCGAACAGGCUUAGAUACCCUGGUAGUCCACGCUGUAAACGGUGGGUACUAGGUGUGGGGUCCAUUCCACGGGUUCCGUGCCGUAGCUAACGCUUUAAGUACCCCGCCUGGGGAGUACGGCCGCAAGGCUAAAACUCAACGGAAUUGACGGGGCCCCGCACAAGCGGCGGAGCAUGCGGAUUAAUUCGAUGCAACGCGUAGAACCUUACCUGGGUUUGACAUGGAUCGGGAGCGCUCAGAGAUGGGUGUGCCUCUUUUGGGGUCGGUUCACAGGUGGUGCAUGGCUGUCGUCAGCUCGUGUCGUGAGAUGUUGGGUUAAGUCCCGCAACGAGCGCAACCCUUGUUCACUGUUGCCAGCACGUUAUGGUGGGGACUCAGUGGAGACCGCCGGGGUCAACUCGGAGGAAGGUGGGGAUGACGUCAAGUCAUCAUGCCCCUUAUGUCCAGGGCUUCACGCAUGCUACAAUGGCUGGUACAGAGAGUGGCGAGCCUGUGAGGGUGAGCGAAUCUCGGAAAGCCGGUCUCAGUUCGGAUUGGGGUCUGCAACUCGACCUCAUGAAGUCGGAGUCGCUAGUAAUCGCAGAUCAGCAACGCUGCGGUGAAUACGUUCCCGGG